This is a long non-coding RNA of Mus musculus (house mouse), 328 nucleotides long. RefSeq annotates it as predicted gene, 32105. NCBI's taxonomy places the organism in Eukaryota, Metazoa, Chordata, Mammalia, Rodentia, Muridae. The record is from RefSeq and is a predicted model, not a curated record. The transcript is spliced from 3 exons.
GUAAAGGAAAUGAAAUAUGUUAGCCUUGAAGGUGAUGCGAUGAAGACCUUUGGCCAUAGGCAUAGACAGACAUACUUUCUUACUUAGCUCGUGUGGCAGGUCUCUUCCAGCAACCUUCUAAUGAGGACAUUUCUGCUUCUCUUAUGCUUCCAUCAUCGUUUCCUUCUGCCUACACCAUCAACCCCAGUCUACGACUGGUUUUACCCAUCAGUCUCUGGUGUCAUCUCCCAUGGCUUCUGGAACCAUGAUAGUCAGUGGAACAAUGAAAGUUUAGACACGACGAAAAAUAUCUUAAUAAGGAGUUGCCUUGGACUGGAGAGAUGGCUCA